RNAcentral lists this ribosomal RNA (381 nucleotides) under uncultured bacterium. Its description in RNAcentral is "bacterial SSU rRNA". It matches the Rfam family "Bacterial small subunit ribosomal RNA", at positions 29 to 402 of the family's 1533-position model. The record is from RNAcentral.
AACGAACGCUGGCGGCGCGCCUAAUACAUGCAAGUCGAGCGAGAAGACGUAGCAAUACGUUUGUAAAGCGGCGAACGGGUGAGGAAUACAUGGGUAACCUACCCUCGAGUGGGGAAUAACUAGCCGAAAGGUUAGCUAAUACCGCGUACGCUCCUUGGACUUCGGUUCAGGGAGGAAAGCGAUACCGUGGGUAUCGCGCUCUUGGAUGGGCUCAUGUCCUAUCAGCUUGUUGGUGAGGAACGGCUCACCAAGGCUUCGACGGGUAGCUGGUCUGAGAGGACAAUCAGCCACACUGGCACUGCGACACGGGCCAGACUCCUACGGGAGGCAGCAGUAAGGAAUAUUGCGCAAUGGGCGAAAGCCGACGCAGCGACGCCGCGU